UACGUAGGGUGCAAGCGUUGUCCGGAAUUAUUGGGCGUAAAGAGCUCGUAGGCGGUUUGUUGCGUCGGCUGUGAAAUCCCGAGGCUCAACCUCGGGUCUGCAGUCGAUACGAGCAAACUAGAGUGUUGCAGGGGAGACUGGAAUUCCUGGUGUAGCGGUGAAAUGCGCAGAUAUCAGGAGGAACACCGGUGGCGAAGGCGGGUCUCUGCGCAACAACUGACGCUGAGGAGCGAAAGCGUGGGGAGCGAACAGG
RNAcentral lists this ribosomal RNA (253 nucleotides) under uncultured bacterium. RNAcentral's name for it is "partial 16S ribosomal RNA". It matches the Rfam family "Bacterial small subunit ribosomal RNA", at positions 524 to 776 of the family's 1533-position model. The record is from RNAcentral.